UACGUAGGGGGCUAGCGUUGUCCGGAAUCAUUGGGCGUAAAGCGCGUGUAGGCGGCCCGGUAAGUCCGCUGUGAAAGUCGGGGGCUCAACCCUCGAAAGCCGGUGGAUACUGUCGGGCUCGAGUGCGGAAGAGGCGAGUGGAAUUCCUGGUGUAGCGGUGAAAUGCGCAGAUAUCAGGAGGAACACCGAUUGCGAAGGCAGCUCGCUGGGACGUUACUGACGCUGAGGCACGAAAGUGUGGGGAUCAAACAGG
This 253-nucleotide ribosomal RNA is filed under the name uncultured bacterium. RNAcentral describes it as "partial 16S ribosomal RNA". It matches the Rfam family "Bacterial small subunit ribosomal RNA", at positions 524 to 776 of the family's 1533-position model. The record is from RNAcentral.